RNAcentral lists this ribosomal RNA (1874 nucleotides) under Companilactobacillus halodurans. Its description in RNAcentral is "Lactobacillus halodurans partial 23S ribosomal RNA". It matches the Rfam family "Bacterial large subunit ribosomal RNA", at positions 1 to 1872 of the family's 2925-position model. Lineage: Bacteria; Bacillati; Bacillota; Bacilli; Lactobacillales; Lactobacillaceae. The record is from RNAcentral.
AGAUUAAGUUAUUAAGGGCGCACGGUGGAUGCCUUGGCACUAGAAGCCGACGAAGGACGUUACUAACGACGAUAUGCUUUGGGGAGCUGUAAGUAAGCUUUGAUCCAGAGAUUUCCGAAUGGGGAAACCCAGCACGAGUUAUGUCGUGUUAUCGAUAUGUGAAUACAUAGCAUAUCUGAAGGCAGACGCGGAGAACUGAAACAUCUUAGUACCCGCAGGAAGAGAAAGAAAAAUCGAUUCCCUGAGUAGCGGCGAGCGAAACGGGAAGAGCCCAAACCAACGAGCUUGCUUGUUGGGGUUGUAGGACACUCUAUACGGAGUUACAAAAGAACAGACUAGACGAAUCAUCUGGAAAGAUGAAUCAAAGAAGGUAAUAAUCCUGUAGUCGAAAGUUUGUUCACUCUUGAGUGGAUCCUGAGUACGACGGAACACGAGAAAUUCCGUCGGAAUCUGGGAGGACCAUCUCCCAAGGCUAAAUACUCUCUAGUGACCGAUAGUGAACCAGUACCGUGAGGGAAAGGUGAAAAGUACCCCGGAAGGGGAGUGAAAUAGAACUUGAAACCGUGUGCUUACAAGUAGUCAGAGCCCGUUAAUGGGUGAUGGCGUGCCUUUUGUAGAAUGAACCGGCGAGUUACGAUUUGAUGCAAGGUUAAGCAGUGAAUGUGGAGCCGUAGCGAAAGCGAGUCUGAAUAGGGCGUUGAGUAUUUGGUCGUAGACCCGAAACCAGGUGAUCUACCCAUGACCAGGUUGAAGUUCAGGUAACACUGAAUGGAGGACCGAACCGACUUACGUUGAAAAGUGAGCGGAUGAGUUGUGGGUAGCGGAGAAAUUCCAAUCGAACCUGGAGAUAGCUGGUUCUCUCCGAAAUAGCUUUAGGGCUAGCCUCAAGUGAUGAUUAUUGGAGGUAGAGCACUGUUUGGACGAGGGGCCCUUAUCGGGUUACCGAAUUCAGACAAACUCCGAAUGCCAAUCAAUUUAACUUGGGAGUCAGAACGCGGGUGAUAAGGUCCGUGUUCGAAAGGGAAACAGCCCAGACCACCAGCUAAGGUCCCAAAAUAUAUGUUAAGUGGAAAAGGAUGUGGCGUUGCCCAGACAACUAGGAUGUUGGCUUAGAAGCAGCCAUCAUUUAAAGAGUGCGUAAUAGCUCACUAGUCGAGUGACACUGCGCCGAAAAUGUACCGGGGCUAAACAUAUUACCGAAGCUGUGGAUUGUCCGUAAGGACAAUGGUAGGAGAGCGUUCUAAGGGCGUUGAAGCAUGAUCGCAAGGACAUGUGGAGCGCUUAGAAGUGAGAAUGCCGGUGUGAGUAGCGAAAGACGGGUGAGAAUCCCGUCCACCGAUUGACUAAGGUUUCCAGAGGAAGGCUCGUCCGCUCUGGGUUAGUCGGGUCCUAAGCUGAGGCCGAUAGGCGUAGGCGAUGGAUAACAGGUUGAUAUUCCUGUACCACCAUUAUUCGUUUUAAGCGAUGGGGGGACGCAGUAGGAUAGGCGAAGCGUACGAUUGGAUUGUACGUCCAAGCAGUGAGAUUGAGUGUUAGGCAAAUCCGGCACUCUUAAGAUUGAGCUGUGAUGGGGAGAGGAAAUUGUUUCCUCGAGUCGUUGAUUUCACACUGCCAAGAAAAGCCUCUAGCUAGAAUUGUGGUGCCCGUACCGCAAACCGACACAGGUAGUCAAGAUGAGAAUUCUAAGGUGAGCGAGCGAACUCUCGUUAAGGAACUCGGCAAAAUGACCCCGUAACUUCGGGAGAAGGGGUGCUCUUUAGGGUUAACGCCCAGGAGAGCCGCAGUGAAUAGGCCCAAGCGACUGUUUAUCAAAAACACAGGUCUCUGCUAAACCGUAAGGUGAUGUAUAGGGGCUGACGCCUGCCCGGUGCUGG